Molecule: long non-coding RNA, 1008 nt
Organism: Salvia splendens (bonfire salvia)
Lineage: Eukaryota; Viridiplantae; Streptophyta; Magnoliopsida; Lamiales; Lamiaceae
Exons: 3
Source: RefSeq, a predicted model, not a curated record
GAAAGAGGAUGAAAAUCAGAAGCCAUGGGAGAAGAGAGAACCAUGAGUUCUCAUGGAAAUCCUAUGUUUAGAUUUUUCGUUGAAAUAUCGAUCCAAUCGCGUAAACGUUAUGAAAUCAAUAUAAGGCAUAGAAGCUUGUAACACGAGUCGUGCAAAAAUGAAUGGACCUGGAAGAUAGCUAAGGGUCGAAAGGUGAAAUAGGCUUAUGUUCAUAAGCCUGCGAGCGGCCUAGAGCAAUCCGAAAACAACGUAGACACAUAGGGCGGCGGAAUCCGGGAGGAAAACCGACUACAGAGCCGCGACCGCAGCGUAGCCGGAGGAGACGAUCAGAUGGUGCGCGAGGCGGUGGAGAGGGGGGAAACUGAGCGCAGCGGCGCAUGCGAGGUAGUUCAGGGCGGAGGUGGCGACGGCGACGCGCAUUGCGAUUGGAUGCGUGGCGAAUGGGGACUGGCUGGGAUCGUGAAUCCACUGGGAUUUGAGCUGGAGGAAGGCUUGGAGCUAUUGAACUCCUCCAUCUACAAAGUCAUGUCCUAUUAGCAACCUACCAGCCUUUCUGGCUUAAUUGAUCAUAUUAAAAGAGAGAAUUAUUCAACUUGAACUCGAUAUCCCUUUGUUCUUCUGGAAAAAUACUACUCCAGUUCUCCUCUCUCUUGGGAGAGAAACUGAGAAAAUGUUUAUUCUUUUAAUAAUUUUUCUGAUACAGUGGCGAGCUUGUAGUUGAAGAGAAUUUCCUCGGUAUUUGCAGUAAGGAGUCGCUUGCUAGAGGAGGAGAGCUCUUGAAACGAACGCGAAAGGGUAAAGAGCGAGGAUUGCGGAGGUGGUGAGCUCGCUGGAGUGCGGGCUGGGGUGAUCGGAGAUGUAGCAUUGUGCGGCGAGAAAUGCGGCGGCGAAUUUGCCGGAGAUGGAGACGUAGAAGGCGGAAAGGACUCGGAACGACGUCGUUGUUGGUGUGGUGUUUACUGCGUUUCGUGGCAUUAUGCGUGUGUUAGAGAGAGAGAGAUGGAGGAA